CUUCUCGUCUAGACAGAAGACCGUCUCUCUCUUCGGCAGGAUAAAGGCAAGAGGCUCCUGGACGACGCUGACGUUCACACGCCCAAGGUUUCCGUACUUGGAGAGCUGAGUGGCUGGAAUGCCUGACCCAGAUGGUCUGUGCUAUCUGAGCUGGAGGAAAAAGUACUUGGAGACAGCGAUUUAUAUAAGGAACGAGGUCUUCCAGGAAGGCAGUGCAGAACUGGAUGAAAAGCUCCUGCUCCCCACUGCUGAAGACAGCCUCCUCUGCGCGAUGGAAGGCCAGGAUUACCUUAGUUACCUAUGAGACAAGGGCACUGUCAAUCACUGGCUGGUGCAGUUCCCAGUUCCAGUGGAGGAGCGCCAUGAAAUUAUACACAGAAUAGAUUGUUUCUGACUCCCGUGGGAGAUGGAUCAGGAAAAUGAAGCGAAUCUAUAAAAGAUUUCUACUGAGUAAGGUUUUUGAAGUUCCAGAAGGCUAUAACCACUAGAAAAUUGUAAAGGAGGAAUUAAAUAGAGCUGGAAAAGAAGUUCCAUAUACAAGUAAUGGAGCCUAGCUGGCAUUACAGACAGGUGUCAUGGUGAUAGGGUUAAGAACAUAGACUCUAGUGCUGAACAUCUUGGGUUCAAGUCCCAGCUGUGCCACUCACUGGUUCUGUGGCGCCUAGGGAUUAAUUAAGCACUCUAGGCCCUCUGUGCCUGAGUUCUGUCAUCUAUAAAGGAGGGCCAGCAACAGGACCUACCUUAUAGGGUUGUGAACAUUGUCUCAGUAUGUGUAAAGUAUGAUGAACUACAUGGCAUGUAGUAAGUUCUAUAUAAAUAUUAGCUAAUUAUUAUUAUCUGAAUUUCAUUGACCCAAAAAGCUUUACUGCUCAUGCUUUCUUGCUCUUUCUUACAGGAGGACAUCACAGAAAUUUUAUAAAACCACGUCAUAACUGGCACCUGGUUGACAGCAAUUAUAAAAUGUCAUCAGUUAUAAGAAGCAUCCCAGUAUCUAAAUACUUAAAUGUGUAAAAAAUGGGCACCAUAUUAGGAUAUUAGUAGUAUUACUUGUAUUAGGCAGAAUUCUAAGAUGGCUCUUGUGAUGCCCAACCUCUGGCAUCCACCCCUUUGUGUAAUCCCCUCCACUGGAGUGCAGGCACAAUCUGUGGCUCGUUGCUAACCAAUAAAAUAUAGCAAAGGUGUAGGAUUUUGCAAUUUUAAUUAGCAUCCCUAAUCAGCUGACUCUGAAUUAAUCAAAAGGGAGGUUAUCCUGGGUGAGCCUGACUUAAUCAGAUGCGCCUCUUAAAAGAGGGUUAAAGAUUUCCAUAAAAGAGAUUCAGGCAGGAGAGAUACUCUCUCAUUGGCCUUGAAGAAUCAAAAAGCCACACUGAACUGCAUAUGGAGUGGACUGUCUCUGGCAGUUGAGGGCCUCAGUCCUACAACUGUAAGAAACAGAAAUCUGCCACUGUGAAUAAGCUUGAAAGAUGGGGACCCCAAGCUUCAUAUGAAUCCACAGCCUGGCCAACACCCUGACUGCAACCUUGUGGGCAGAGUACCAACCCAGUUACGCUGUGCCUGCACUCCUAACCCACAGAAACUGAGACAUGAUAAAUGCAUGUUAUUUUAAGAUGCUUUGUUUGUGUGAGUUCGUAAUGUAGCAAUAGAAAACUAAUACAUUACUGAAUCAUUACUACAGCUGAGUCACUUCAUGGAUUGUUCUAGGUCCCAUGAAGGAGGACUAAUGAGAGCUUCUCAACCAAAAAACCUCUAAAACCACACUAAACCUCUCCAAGUCAGCAGGCACCACUGUCCCAUGGACUGGUUUAUUACAAAAGUCUGGCCACCUAUUCCUAAAGAAGGCCCUAGUAGAGAGCCAACAGUAUGUGCUUACCUUGGCAAGGGCAUCCUCCAGGGCCCCAGUCACAUCCUGUGCCAGGGCCACAGGGCAGCAGAGGCGCAGAUCAUUGAAAGCGACCAGAAUAUUGUUGAGAAAGCAGGCAAGGGGUGGGAAAUCUAAGAGCACCAUGGGCGGCUGCAGGGUCCCCGGCUGAGUGACUGGCACAGCAGCAGGCAGGUUACUGCUGCCCAGGAUGGCAGGAGCCAAGAUGAGGGUGUAGGAGUUCAUUUCAUCCUGGAACUUCUCGACCGCUUCCUGAAUUGCUUUCUGGAAAGUGCUGAUAGCCACUCUCUGGAAAACAGGAGCCAACUGACCCCGGAAAUCAGCCCCUACCCGGCUGAAGGACAGGCCAAAGUACAUGCACUGACCCAGCAGAGAAUCCAGACGGCCACCUAUCCCCCGGUUAAGGUCGGUCUCCAGCACCUGCAGGAACUGCGAGACUUUCUGUAGCACCCAGCCAUGGAAAAUGGCACUCUCAUUCACAGUGUGGUCACCCAUGGCAGGGGGCAGCAAUGGGUCCUCGUCUGAGAAGAUGGCACGGUACUGGGUGAUGAUAUCAAACAGAUGGACACGGCAGGCUUCAAUGGUUUUUGUGAUGUGGAAAUAGGGAUCAUCACUGGGGAUAGCAGUCAGUAUGGAACGGAGCCAAGCAUCUCGGGCCUGAAGAAACUUCACCCUCAACUCAGCCUCGGUGAAGACAUCCAUUUGCCGUAGGAAGCCAAUGACACGGAGGCAGGCAGGGAGCUGGAUGCUGGUCCUCAGUUGCUGGAUCAGCUGGCUCAGCAUGAGCUGCAUGGACUGGCGCACUUCAUUCACAAUGCCCUGAAGAUACAGGAGGUGAGUCACAUCAUGCUGGGAAAGACAAUCCCUGGAACCCAUUCCACUAACCCUGAAUAUUGCAAACCAACGUUCCCGCUGCUUUCCUGACAUGAAGUAGAUUUCCUAAAAUUGAUGCACAUAGGUUCACCAACAAAGAUUUGGUUCACUGGCCCAUAGGCCCUGCCUGGUUCUCCUGCCCUCACUUGCUUCCUAAUGCUCUCCCCUUGCUCAGGGCAAUCCAGCCAGAACAGCUGUCUUUGUAUUUCUAAACACUCCAACCUCUUCCCUCCUUAGCCCACUGCACUUGUUCUUACCACUUUCUGGUUUGCUCUCUCCCCACAUCUUCACGUCAUCAUCCGGGUCUCAGCUUAAAUGUUCUCUCUCCAGAAGAGCCUUUCCUGACCACUCUACCAGGAGUACCCCCAUUCCCUGGUGUAUUUUAAGAUACUUAACAGUAUCUGAAAGGAUAUUAUGUAUUUAUUUGCCAACUAUCAGCUUAUAUUCACAAGAGCCAGGGCCUUGUCUUUGCUCAGUGUAUCCCCAGUACCUAGAUCAAUGUCUGGCACAAAAUUAAUAUUUAUCAACUGACUGAAUAAAUGAAUGUAUGUUUUAUGAUCAAGCCUGCAUGGCUGGCAGAAACUAGUAUGAAACAUGCAAGGAGUUUCCCUAAGGUUUCUGACUAAAGGUUCAGUGAUGACGACAGAAUUACUGGUAACAAGGACAUCAGUGUGAGUCCUCUCUGGGCACGUUGGCUACCUGGAUGACGGGGAUGGAGGAGUAUUUCCUUUCCAGUCGGUGUACGUAGCCUGCAAGCUCCAGGGCCUCUUCAUAAUAGUUGUUCCGGACACAGGUGUCCAUGAGCUGGGGGAUCUCCAGGAUUUCCAGGAUUUCCGUGUGCCGGUUUAGAGUCAGGGUGUUCAUCCGGCGAUUGGAGCUUAUCUCCUCAGCCUCUUUCACAAAAUUCCUGUAACAAUCAGGAGAACAUUGGUGGUUCACUACUCUGCAUCUAAACCUUAGCUACAGGUACCAAGCAUUUACUACAAACUGGGCAAUGGGCUGGAUGAUUUAUCUGAUUUAAUCUUCACACCAGAUAUAUCUGGUAAGUACUUUUACCCUUAAGGAAACUUCAGUCUCAUCGAAUUUAAGCAACUUGUCCAAGAUCAUACAACUAAUAAAUGAUAAAGAUUUGAACACGGAUCUGCCAUUUAACAAGCUGUGGCAAGGUACUUAGGCUCUCUCUGAGCUGUUUCCUCAUUGGUAAAAUAGUAAAUAGGACCCACCUCAUACAGAUGUGAGGAUUAAAUGAGAUGAUGUGUAUAAAGCAUUUAACACAGAACCUGACACAGACUAAAUGUUCCUUUAAUAAUAGCUAUCUUAUUAUUUUCAGAAUAAUACCCUAACUAGCCUAGAAACUACCACCUUACCCCCAAGUUCCCUCAGCCUCUUAAUCUUCCACUAUGCUCUUGUCCAAACUUAGUUCCUGCUACAGUCUCCAUUUCUUCUCCAUAGCUGUCUAUUCCAGGCGAUUUGAAGCGUGCAAAAGCUAUUGUUAAAUACACAAAGACUCAAAAGAAAAAACUUUUAACAUGAAAGGCCGGAAGGCAGAAUCAGGGAUAAUGGACUGAAGGUCAAGGGAGGCAGAAUGAAGCUCAAAAAGGAUUUUUAAAAAACAAUUUUUACAAAACAAUUUUUACUGCCACCAAUGGGAGGAUUUCCUUGUCAAACUCCUAUCAAUGAAAGUUUGGAGCAGAUGGCCUCUGGUCCGAACUACUAUGUGUACGUGUGUGUUGUGUAUAGUGUGUAUGUUUACAUAAAUGUGUACAUAUAUUAAACUGACAAUUAUGUCAGACCCCCAAAUAA
Molecule: long non-coding RNA, 4555 nt
Organism: Camelus dromedarius (Arabian camel)
Lineage: Eukaryota; Metazoa; Chordata; Mammalia; Artiodactyla; Camelidae
Exons: 3
Source: RefSeq, a predicted model, not a curated record